This is a long non-coding RNA of Papaver somniferum (opium poppy), 314 nucleotides long. RefSeq lists it as uncharacterized. The transcript has 3 exons. The record is from RefSeq and is a predicted model, not a curated record. NCBI's taxonomy places the organism in Eukaryota, Viridiplantae, Streptophyta, Magnoliopsida, Ranunculales, Papaveraceae.
AAGUGACAGAAAAAUUAUUAGAUUCAUCUAAAGAUCAAAGACAGUCUUGAAGAGAAAUACAAGAGCGGAUUGAUUUUCUGGGCUCGUGAAGAUCGGAGGAAUACAACAACGAAUUGAUUUUCUGGGUUCGUGAAGAGUGAAUUGAUUUUCUGUUCGAUUAAUAAUAUGAUGUCAAGUGUACAAGAGCAAGAGUUACCAGAACCAGACCAUUUCAAGGAUGUUAUGAGUGCUGAUGAUGAAGAUGAUGAUGUUGAGAUGUUAUGAAUGUAUGAUACUAUGAUAGUAUCUGUGUGACUGUGUCUGUGUUUCUUUAA